CCUACGGGAGUCAGCAGUGAGGAAUAUUGGUCAAUGGACGAGAGUCUGAACCAGCCAAGUAGCGUGAAGGAUGACUGCCCUGUGGGUUGUAAACUUCUUUUAUCUGGGAAUAAAAUGUUCCACGUGUGGGAUUUUGUAUGUACCAUAUGAAUAAGGAUCGGCUAACUCCGUGCCAGCAGCCGCGGUAAUACGGAGGAUCCGAGCGUUAUCCGGAUUUAUUGGGUUUAAAGGGAGCGUAGGUGGUUUGUUAAGUCAGUUGUGAAAGUUUGCGGCUCAACCGUAAAAUUGCAGUUGAAACUGGCAGUCUUGAGUACAGUAGAGGUGGGCGGAAUGCGUGGUGUAGCGGUGAAAUGCUUAGAUAUCACGAAGAACUCCGAUUGCGAAGGCAGCUCGCUGGACUGCAACUGACACUGAGGCUCGAAAGUGUGGGUAUCAAACAGGAUUAGAUACCCGUGUAGUC
Molecule: ribosomal RNA, 460 nt
Filed under: uncultured bacterium
Lineage: Bacteria
Description: partial 16S ribosomal RNA
Rfam family: Bacterial small subunit ribosomal RNA
Source: RNAcentral